Molecule: ribosomal RNA, 478 nt
Filed under: uncultured bacterium
Lineage: Bacteria
Description: partial 16S ribosomal RNA
Rfam family: Bacterial small subunit ribosomal RNA
Source: RNAcentral
GAUGAACGCUGGCGGCGUGCUUAACACAUGCGAGUCGAACGGGAAAUAUUUCAUUGAGCCUUCGGUGGAUUUGAUUUAUUUCUAGUGGCGGACGGGUGAGUAACGCGUGGGUAACCUGCCUUAUACAGGGGGAUAACAGUCAGAAAUGGCUGCUAAUACCGCAUAAGCCCACAGAGCUGCAUGGCUCAGUGUGAAAAACUCCGGUGGUAUAAGAUGGACCCGCGUUGGAUUAGCUAGUUGGUGGGGUAACGGCCCACCAAGGCGACGAUCCAUAGCCGGCCUGAGAGGGUGAACGGCCACAUUGGGACUGAGGCACGGCCCAGACUCCUACGGGAGGCAGCAGUGGGGAAUAUUGCACAAUGGGGGAAACCCUGAUGCAGCGACGCCGCGUGAAGGAAGAAGUAUCUCGGUAUGUAAACUUCUAUCAGCAGGGAAGAUAGUGACGGUACCUGACUAAGAAGCCCCGGCUAACUACGUG